GAAAAUUAGGUUACGACAUUAUACAUAAUUUGCAAUUAUCAUGUCAUAAUUGUUUCGUCGAAUCUUUGCACGCAUCCUAUCUUCAUCGUUGUUGCAUCUUCACCAUCCUCCUUGCCUUCAACAUUUCCUUCCCCAGAUCCCAACUUUGUUACCAUUUCUUUGGGUAAUCCUCACGAGAAAAUUGGUGUUUUCAAAUGUCAUCUGUUCAAACAUUCAAAAUUAUUCUCAAAAUUAGCCCAGAUGACAUCUUUUCAAACACACAAAAUCACUCAUACAAUAAGAAUUUAAUCUCAAAACCCAACAAUUUGUGUUCUGACUUGACAUAUUUGUCUUUAUCAUACUUGAAAUCUUCGUUUUAAUAUUUUAGAUCUUUGAUAUCUUUAGGAAUUCUUGAUCUUUGAUCAAUGCCACUUGCUCAACAACUGGCUUAUUCCACAAUGACCUCUCCAUCCGAAGGGUUAGGAAGUUGAUUGUUACAACAUCAGAAAAAUUAAUUUGCAGCCAUGGCUGUGGGCUACAGCAAACCCAAUUUCCUUUCACAGAGCUGAUGGCAAACUUCGAAAGUUCAGGAAAUGAAGAUGAAGAUUUGGUUCUAAUUUAAGGUGGCUGGGUAGACUGGUUGCGGAGGUAGAAAAGAAAAGUCGGGCUGAAGUGGCGGUGAAGAUGGAGAGGAAGUGUCCAACAGUCCAAGUUUGUUAAAGAAUUUUUAUUUUUGGGACUUUUCUGUUCUUAUUCUGUUAAAUUUCGGCUAACGGAAUUGCAAAUUGGGUGAAUAUUGCCAUACCAGAAGUGAGAUCUUACACCAAAAUUCAACAAUCAAGAAAAGAGAAUGUCAAAAUAAUUUAAUUUAUAUUGUAAAAUUUGGAGUUUUUUCUUAUUAAAUUUCUAAAAGUCACAUGAAAA
Long non-coding RNA from Mangifera indica (mango), 903 nucleotides. RefSeq lists it as uncharacterized. The record is from RefSeq and is a predicted model, not a curated record. NCBI's taxonomy places the organism in Eukaryota, Viridiplantae, Streptophyta, Magnoliopsida, Sapindales, Anacardiaceae. The transcript is spliced from 2 exons.